UACGUAGGACCCGAGCGUUGUCCGGAUUUACUGGGUAUAAAGGGUGCGCAGGCGGGCUUGUGCGUCAGGGGUUAAAGACCUCGGCUUAACCGAGGGAGUGCCUUUGAUACGGCAGGUCUUGAAUGUGAGAGAGGAUGAUAGAAUUCCUGGUGUAGCGGUGGAAUGCGUAGAUAUCAGGAGGAAUACCAUUGGCGAAGGCGGUCAUCUGGCUCAUUAUUGACGCUUAGGCACGAAAGCGUGGGGAUCAAACAGGAUUAGAUACC
This 263-nucleotide ribosomal RNA is filed under the name uncultured bacterium. RNAcentral describes it as "partial 16S ribosomal RNA". It matches the Rfam family "Bacterial small subunit ribosomal RNA", at positions 524 to 786 of the family's 1533-position model. The record is from RNAcentral.